RNAcentral lists this ribosomal RNA (497 nucleotides) under uncultured bacterium. RNAcentral's name for it is "partial 16S ribosomal RNA". It matches the Rfam family "Bacterial small subunit ribosomal RNA", at positions 28 to 507 of the family's 1533-position model. The record is from RNAcentral.
GAUGAACGCUGGCGGCGUGCCUAAUACAUGCAAGUCGAGCGAACAGAUAAGGAGCUUGCUCCUUUGACGUUAGCGGCGGACGGGUGAGUAACACGUGGGUAACCUACCUAUAAGACUGGAAUAACUCCGGGAAACCGGGGCUAAUGCCGGAUAACAUUUAGAACCGCAUGGUUCUAAAGUGAAAGAUGGUUUUGCUAUCACUUAUAGAUGGACCCGCGCCGUAUUAGCUAGUUGGUAAGGUAACGGCUUACCAAGGCAACGAUACGUAGCCGACCUGAGAGGGUGAUCGGCCACACUGGAACUGAGACACGGUCCAGACUCCUACGGGAGGCAGCAGUAGGGAAUCUUCCCCAAUGGGCGAAAGCCUGACGGAGCAACGCCGCGUGAGUGAUGAAGGUCUUCGGAUCGUAAAACUCUGUUAUUAGGGAAGAACAAAUGUGUAAGUAACUGUGCACGUCUUGACGGUACCUAAUCAGAAAGCCACGGCUAACUACGUG